AUUUGACCUCAAAUCAGGUAAGAAUACCCGCUGAACUUAAGCAUAUCAAUAAGCGGAGGAAAAGAAAAUAACAAUGAUUCCCCUAGUAACUGCGAGUGAAGAGGGACAAGCUCAAAUUUUAAAUCCGUCGGGUUACACCUGACCGAGUUGUAAUUUGAAGAGGCGUUUUCCGCGUUUUUGAUCAGUCCAAGUCCUUUGGGAUAGGGCAUCAUGGAGGGUGAGAAUCCCGUUCGGCUGAUCAGAUUCGCUUUACGAUACGUCAUCUAAGAGUCAAGUUGUUUGGGAAUGCAGCUUAAAAUGGGAGGUAAAUUUCUCCUAAGGCUAAAUAACGGCGAGAGACCGAUAGCGAACAAGUACCGUGAGGGAAAGAUGAAAAGAACUUUGAAAAGAGAGUUAAACAGUACGUGAAAUUGUUGAAAGGGAAACGAUUGAAGCCAGUCGUACCGGUGGGUAAUCAGCCUUUCGGCGUGAUUAUGUGGAGCGUGAGGAGUCAAACGCCCUCAUGGCCUGCAUAUUCGUGUUCUUUGGGUGUACUUACCCGCAUGGUAGGUUAACAUCAAUUUCGAACGUCAUAAAAUGGUUGGAGGAAUGUAGCUUCGAUCUCGUAUUGAAGUGUUAUAGACUCCGGCAGAUGUGAUGAUCGGGAUUGAGGAUUGCAACGGAUACCCUUCGGGGCUACCCGUCUGAUCUCUGAAAGUUGCUCUGGUGCCGAAAGCUCGCUUACGGUCAUCAAAGUUGACGUUCAACAGGUUAGAACGGGAUAAAUUCGUUAAGGAUGUUGACGUAAUGGCUUUAAACGACCCGUCUUGAAACACGGACCA
This 821-nucleotide ribosomal RNA is filed under the name Glomus cf. clarum Att894-7. RNAcentral's name for it is "eukaryotic LSU rRNA". It matches the Rfam family "Eukaryotic large subunit ribosomal RNA", at positions 1 to 668 of the family's 3401-position model. The record is from RNAcentral. Lineage: Eukaryota; Fungi; Glomeromycota; Glomeromycetes; Glomerales; Glomeraceae.